AUUGAACGCUGGCGGCAGGCCUAACACAUGCAAGUCGAACGGUAACAGGAAGAAGCUUGCUUCUUUGCUGACGAGUGGCGGACGGGUGAGUAAUGUCUGGGAAACUGCCUGAUGGAGGGGGAUAACUACUGGAAACGGUAGCUAAUACCGCAUAACGUCGCAAGACCAAAGAGGGGGACCUUCGGGCCUCUUGCCAUCGGAUGUGCCCAGAUGGGAUUAGCUAGUAGGUAGGGUAACGGCUCACCUAGGCGACGAUCCCUAGCUGGUCUGAGAGGAUGACCAGCCACACUGGAACUGAGACACGGUCCAGACUCCUACGGGAGGCAGCAGUGGUGAAUAUUGCACAAUGGGCGCAAGCCUGAUGCAGCCAUGCCGCGUGUAUGAAGAAGGCCUUCGGGUUGUAAAGUACUUUCAGCGGGGAGGAAGGGAGUAAAGUUAAUACCUUUGCUCAUUGACGUUACCCGCAGAAGAAGCACCGGCUAACUCCGUG
RNAcentral lists this ribosomal RNA (490 nucleotides) under uncultured bacterium. RNAcentral describes it as "partial 16S ribosomal RNA". It matches the Rfam family "Bacterial small subunit ribosomal RNA", at positions 30 to 507 of the family's 1533-position model. The record is from RNAcentral.